UGGUGUAGAUUUGAUGACU
RNAcentral lists this unclassified non-coding RNA (19 nucleotides) under Mus musculus (house mouse). RNAcentral's name for it is "oocyte_clustered_small_RNA6398". The record is from RNAcentral. Lineage: Eukaryota; Metazoa; Chordata; Mammalia; Rodentia; Muridae.